UAAGCAUAUCAAUAAGCGGAGGAAAAGAAACUAACAAGGAUUCCCCUAGUAACUGCGAGUGAAGCGGGAAAAGCUCAAAUUUAAAAUCUGGUGGCCUUUGGUCAUCCGAGUUGUAAUUUAGAGAAGCGUCUUCCGCGCCGGACCGUGCACAAGUCUCCUGGAAUGGAGCGUCAUAGAGGGUGAGAAUCCCGUCUUUGGCACGGACACACCGGGGCUUCUGUGAUGCGCUCUCGAAGAGUCGAGUUGUUUGGGAAUGCAGCUCAAAAUGGGUGGUGAACUCCAUCUAAAGCUAAAUAUUGGCGAGAGACCGAUAGCGAACAAGUACCGUGAGGGAAAGAUGAAAAGCACUUUGGAAAGAGAGUGAAACAGUACGUGAAAUUGUUGAAAGGGAAACGCUUGAAGUCAGUCGCGUCGACCGAGACUCAGCCUCGCCUCGGCUUGGUGUACUUCUCGGCUGACGGGUCAGCAUCAAUUUUGCCCCUCGGAUAAUGGCAAGGGAAAGGUGGCACCUACGGGUGUGUUAUAGUCUCCUGUCGCAUGCGAGGGUCGGGAUUGAGGAACUCAGCACGCACCUCUCGGUGUCGGGGCCUCGGCUCACGUUACGUGCUUAGGAUGCUGGCGUAAUGGCUUUAAACGACCCGUCUUGAAACACGGACCAAGGAGUCUAACAUGCCCGCGAGUGUUCGGGUGGAAAACCCGUGCGCGUAAUGAAAGUGAAAGUUGGGACCUCUGUCGUGGAGGGCACCGACGCCCGGACCAGACCUUCUGUGACGGAUCUGCGGUAGAGCGUGCAUGUUGGGACCCGAAAGAUGGUGAACUAUGCCUGAAUAGGGUGAAGCCAGAGGAAACUCUGGUGGAGGCUCGUAGCGAUUCUGACGUGCAAAUCGAUCGUCAAAUUUGGGUAUAGGGGCGAAAGACUAAUCGAACCAU
This 930-nucleotide ribosomal RNA is filed under the name Russula sp. RNAcentral's name for it is "partial large subunit ribosomal RNA". It matches the Rfam family "Eukaryotic large subunit ribosomal RNA", at positions 35 to 943 of the family's 3401-position model. Lineage: Eukaryota; Fungi; Basidiomycota; Agaricomycetes; Russulales; Russulaceae. The record is from RNAcentral.